Molecule: long non-coding RNA, 674 nt
Organism: Microplitis demolitor
Lineage: Eukaryota; Metazoa; Arthropoda; Insecta; Hymenoptera; Braconidae
Exons: 4
Source: RefSeq, a predicted model, not a curated record
AAUUUUUUCAUAUUCGUCCUUUUUUUAAAUUUGAUUUUACCAAUUAUUGACUCUAAUAUUCUAUUUAUUAAUAAUUUUAAAUUUAUCUGAUAUCUGCUACAUUCACACUUAUCUUGUAAUUUACAAUAAAAUAGAUUUGAUUUAUUGCAAUAAUAGAAGUGACAAAAACUGGGUUAAUAAUUAAGAAAAAUGGUCGGCACAUGUUUUUCAAUGUGUUCAGGAAAAGAAUGACGUCUAAGAGAACGAGAAGGUUUAUUACGCAUUUCAGAGAUCGAUGGAAAACCUAAAAAUCAAAGGCACAAAAAAGCUGAUUUCACUAAAAUAAUGAAAUGUUUUCAAAGAUCCAGUGUAGAGUUUCACUCCAAAAAGGCAUACGCUGGAGCUUAAUUUAUGAAUUAACAUUCAACAGGAUCCGGGCAAUAAAACAAGACAUGAUCAUAUAGAGAUUAGAUUCAACCAAAAGCAUUAAAAUUUUAGAACCAGUUUUUAAAUUUCAUAUUUAUGCUGCUGAAAGAAUACGGAAGAGACCUUUAAGGAAUUUUGUUCACAAAUUAAAUGAUCAGCAUUUACUGGAAUUAAACGAUUAGUCGUCCUGUACGACGAUAUCAAUUAUGCCAGCGCUGACGUUCACGAGGAAAAGAAACCAACGAAUUAAUUGGAAAAAAAAAAAAAAA